RNAcentral lists this ribosomal RNA (333 nucleotides) under Triticum aestivum (bread wheat). Its description in RNAcentral is "partial small subunit ribosomal RNA". Lineage: Eukaryota; Viridiplantae; Streptophyta; Magnoliopsida; Poales; Poaceae. The record is from RNAcentral.
AUGGGGGCAGGCCUCUUUGGGUACGUCGACAAAACCCUAGAACCACCACCCAAAACAAUCACCAGCAAGAAUGCCGAGGGCAAAGAUCAGGUGGCUGUGAACCCUGCUUAUGCGCCUUGGCUCAUCCAAGAUCAAUAGAUCGUUGCCUAUCUUCUUCGCAAUCUUAAUGAAGUCCUAGUUCAAGUAGCAUCUCUUGAAACCUCCCAUGCCAUCUGGUCCGUCCUCGCCAACAUGUUCUCUGCCCAAUCCCGCUCUCGUUGCAAUCACAUCCGCAUCGCCCUCACCACUGCCCAGAAGGGAACCCAGUCUGCUAUUGCAUACUUCGGCUAUAUG